Molecule: ribosomal RNA, 1538 nt
Filed under: uncultured bacterium
Lineage: Bacteria
Description: bacterial SSU rRNA
Rfam family: Bacterial small subunit ribosomal RNA
Source: RNAcentral
AGAGUUUGAUCAUGGCUCAGGAUGAACGCUGGCGGUGUGCCUUAGGCAUGCAAGUCGAACGGGGUAGCAAUACCCAGUGGCAGACGGGUGAGUAACACGUAGGAAUCUACCUUGUAGUGGGGGAUAGCUCGCCGAAAGGCGGGGUAAUACCGCAUUCACCCUCCGGGGGAAAGUCGUAAGACGCUAUAAGAGGAGCCUGCGCGCUAUCAGCUAGUUGGUGGGGUAAUGGCCUACCAAGGCGAUGACGGCUAGCCGAUGUGAGAGCAUGAUCGGCCACAAGGCUACUGAGACACGGAGCCUACACCUACGGGUGGCAGCAACCGGGAAUCUUGCGCAAUGGACGAAAGUCUGACGCAGCGACACCGCGUGUGGGAAGAAGGCCUUCGGGUCGUAAACCACUGUGGCGAGGGAGGAAGUUCUGACCGUACCUCGCUAGAAAGCACCAGCUAAUCACGUGCCAGAAGCUUCGGUAAUACGUGAGGUGCAAGCGUUAUCCGGAUUUACUGGGCGUAAAGGGUCCGUCGGCUUUUUGGUAAGUUUUUUGUUUCAGCCCCUGGCUUAACUAGGGAAAAGCAAAGAAAACUGUCAAAAUAGAAUCUGUUCGAGGUAGCUAGAAUUCUUGGUGGAGGGGUGAAAUCCGUAGAUAUCAAGAGGAAUACCGUACGCGAAGGCAGGCUACUAGGACAAGAUUGACGCUCAGGGACGAAAGCUUGGGGAGCAAAAGGGAUUAGAGACCCCUGUAGUCCAAGCCGUAAACACUCCUUGCUAGUUGCCCCAUUCUCUCAAAAUUUCAUUUUGAGCAUUUCUCAAAACGUACACUACUCAUUUCUCAAUCAGAAGUGAAGAGUGUUUAGUGGAAAAUGUCGAACAAAUUGGAAAUUUGUGAGAUUGGGGUGGCGUAAGCUAACGCGUUAAGCAAGGCGCCUGGGGAUUACGGCCGCAAGGCUAAAACUCAAAGGAAUUGACGGGGGAGCGCACAACCGGUGGAGCAUGUGGUUUAAUUCGAUACAAAGCGAAAAACCUUACCCAGGUUUGACAUGUACCUGCACGUCCUAGGAAACUAGGAUUUCUUCGAGAGUGGUACACAGGUGAUGCAUGGCUGUCGUCAGCUCGUGUCGUGAGACGUCCGCUUAAGUGCGGUAACGAGCGCAACCCUUAUCGCUAGUUACAAGUGUCUAGCGAAACUGCUUCUGCUCUGCAGAGGAGGAAGGAGAGGAUGAUGUCAAGUCAGCAUGUCCCUUACAUCUGGGGCUACACACAUCCUACAAUGGAGCCGACAACAGGUUGCGAUGGGGUAACCCUGAGCUAAUCCUUAAACGGCCCCUCAGUUCAGAUUGUGGGCUGCAAUCCGCCCACAUGAAGCCGGAAUCGGUAGUAAUCGCAAAUCAGCAGGUUGCGGUGAAUACGUUCUCGCUCCUUGUACACACUGCCCGUCAAGCCAGCAAAGUCAGCAACGCCCGAAGCGGAUGAUCCUAACUCGCAAGAGAGGGACACUUCUACGGCGAGGUUGGCGAUGAGGACUAAGUCGUAACAAGGUA